Long non-coding RNA from Arabidopsis lyrata subsp. lyrata, 1472 nucleotides. RefSeq lists it as uncharacterized. The record is from RefSeq and is a predicted model, not a curated record. Lineage: Eukaryota; Viridiplantae; Streptophyta; Magnoliopsida; Brassicales; Brassicaceae. The transcript has 4 exons.
UAGUCGCUUGAGAUUUUCACUUCUGUAGGAGACAUAAUCUGAAACAAUAAAUAACUUUGUCGCUUUUGGGUUUCUUAGUCAGAUAAUCAUGCACUCUUGAGUUAUACUCUUCGUGUGUUGUAUCAUAUAAAAUCUAUCACCACUGUUUAUGAUUGUUGGAUUAUAAUGAAAAAAUGAAUCUCAAAUUUCUUAGCAUUCUCUUUGUUUUUUGUCUCUUUGGUAACAAAUACCUAUUCCUCUCUGGCCAAAUUAUAAGUAUUCAGUCAUCUGGUUGAACUAUACAAAUUUAGUCUCUUUGUUACGGCUGAGAGAUCUUGUGUUAAUAUCCCAGUUACCAAGUGAAGCCAGCAGCAAUCAACAGCAAGUCCCUCCUGCAUUCCUGAACUUUUCAAUGUCGCAAAAAGAGGAAACACUCAAAGAACUUGUUAGGGACAAAUGGCUGUGCCACCCAAAUGAGGGAAACAUCGGACUUGGUAUAAGAACUCUUCUUGAUCUGCGCAGUUGGUUCAAGAACAAUGAUAUUCCUUCCUGCGAGGUCUGCAAUGAAUUUGGAGUAAAGGUCUGCAUUCUGAAGAAACCUGAUAGGAAUUACUAUUCACACUGUGAUGAUAAUACUUGCUGAUGCUUUGUUUUCUAACUCUUGUUUCCAGGCGGAUUUGUGUCCUAACGAAGGUUGCACUGUCCGGAUACACAUGUACUGCCUGAGAGACUUGUCAUCUCCAAAGGUACGCAUAGGUUGUUUAGAUUUUUGUCAACCCCAAUAGUAUUUUAUACUUUCUGAUCGCAUAAAAACUGCAGGAUGUUAAUCUUUGCUCUGGUUGCGGGAAGCCAUGGCCUUUGGGUACCAUUACGAAAGUAGAAGCUGUUGAAGAAGCAGCGGCUGAUGGGAUAUUAUCCUUGAAUCCUUCAGCUGGUGAACUUGACUGGAAGAAGGCUGAACACACUCUUAAAAACCGGAAAAUCCAGACGUUACACGAUGAUAAAGUGUACACGGUAUUUGGUCUAACUAAAGAUCAUUGCAAUGAACAAAGGUUUAUUAGAAAGUCUACGAACGGAAACGGGGAAUCCGAGGAGGUUGAGAUCACAGUGUAUAAAUAUUUCACUGAAGUGUUGGGAAUUAACCUGGAAUAUUCAGGUGAUUAUCCUUGUCUACGUGCUGGCGGCUCUAACCACCCGAUUUACUUACCGAUUGAGGUCUGUUUUCCCCUCUAUCCUAUAAUCGAUUUCAUUCUCACAAUCCAAAGUGCUUCAGGGAUAUCUGAAGUUGAUUGGCACAAGGUUGAAGUGGUUCUAAAAGGUUUGGAAGUUCGGGUAACUUCAGACCAUAAUCGAGUGUACACGAUCUGUGGAUUAAGUGAAGAUACUUGCGAGAAUCAAAAGUAUGUCAAAUAUUUUAACAUUCUUUGCUAAAUUCUCCGAGUUUGUUAUAUGGUUAUUCUCUGAGUUUGCUAUAAGGUUAUUUAUUUGUUUGA